CGGGCGAUUCGGCCCGUUUGCGCCGGUCUCGAAAACCUGUAUGGGCUUUCAGUCCAUCGGGGGUUCGAAUCCCCCCGCUCU
RNAcentral lists this transfer RNA (81 nucleotides) under Actinomycetota bacterium. RNAcentral describes it as "tRNA-Ser". The record is from RNAcentral. Lineage: Bacteria; Bacillati; Actinomycetota.